Molecule: ribosomal RNA, 492 nt
Filed under: uncultured bacterium
Lineage: Bacteria
Description: partial 16S ribosomal RNA
Rfam family: Bacterial small subunit ribosomal RNA
Source: RNAcentral
AGUGAACGCUGGCGGUAGGCCUAACACAUGCGAGUCCAACGGCAGCACAGUAAGAGCUUGCUCUUACGGGUGGCGAGUGGCGGACGGGUGAGGAAUACAUCGGAAUCUACUUUUUCGUGGGGGAUAACGUAGGGAAACUUACGCUAAUACCGCAUACGACCUACGGGUGAAAGCAGGGGAUCUUCGGACCUUGCGCGAUUGAAUGAGCCGAUGUCGGAUUAGCUAGUUGGCGGGGUAAAGGCCCACCAAGGCGACGAUCCGUAGCUGGUCUGAGAGGAUGAUCAGCCACACUGGAACUGAGACACGGUCCAGACUCCUACGGGAGGCAGCAGUGGGGAAUAUUGGACAAUGGGCGCAGGCCUGAUCCAGCCAUACCGCGUGGGUGAAGAAGGCCUUCGGGUUGUAAAGCCCUUUUGUUGGGAAAGAAAAGCAGCAGGUUAAUACCCCGCUGUUCUGACGGUACCCAAAGAAUAAGCACCGGCUAACUUCGUG